UACGGAGGGUGCAAGCGUUGUCCGGAAUCACUGGGCGUAAAGGGCGCGUAGGCGGCUCGGUAAGUAGGGGGUGAAAUCCUGCGGCUUAACCGCAGGGCUGCCUUCUAAACUGUCGAGCUCGAGCACGGUAGAGGCAGAUGGAAUUCCCGGUGUAGCGGUGGAAUGCGUAGAGAUCGGGAAGAACAUCAGUGGCGAAGGCGGCUCACUGGCCCGGAACUGACGCUGAGACGCGAAAGCGUGGGGAGCAAACAGG
RNAcentral lists this ribosomal RNA (253 nucleotides) under uncultured bacterium. Its description in RNAcentral is "partial 16S ribosomal RNA". It matches the Rfam family "Bacterial small subunit ribosomal RNA", at positions 524 to 776 of the family's 1533-position model. The record is from RNAcentral.